Molecule: transfer RNA, 56 nt
Filed under: Barbatia decussata
Lineage: Eukaryota; Metazoa; Mollusca; Bivalvia; Arcoida; Arcidae
Description: tRNA-Ser
Source: RNAcentral
GGUUCUUUUAUGAUGCCGCCUUGAAAGUGGUAUGUGGGCUGGUAGUCCAAGAACUU